Long non-coding RNA from Schistocerca americana (American grasshopper), 746 nucleotides. RefSeq lists it as uncharacterized. The record is from RefSeq and is a predicted model, not a curated record. NCBI's taxonomy places the organism in Eukaryota, Metazoa, Arthropoda, Insecta, Orthoptera, Acrididae. The transcript has 5 exons.
ACGUGUAUACUUUUCAACGUUUCAGUCGUUGGAAUUGUCCCAAACUGUAGUACAGAAUGCGGAUACGAAGGAUUCUAGACAUCCCAUUUGCGACUUUCGAUAGCUUUCGAUACCAUCUGAAAUUGAAAACAAGCGAUUUUGGUUGAAUGUAAACACACAAAAUCCGAAGUAAAUAAACAGAAAUAUUGUCGAUCAAGCGCAGAAAAGUGGUGUGCCCUAGUUUUGUGUUAAUCAUUUGUGAGAGGGCGAUCACACGUAAGAAGGAUUAGCUUGAGCGCAUCCCCGCAAUAUUCACGUUGGAAAUUGUUAGUUUUGUCGUAAUGAUAAGUGUAUAUAUUGUGUGUAAUUUGUUUAUCAACAUUACCCUGCAUUAGUGACAAAUUCAGGUUACACCCAAGAUGCACAACAAAUGUUUUAGCUAUGUGUAGACAAAGUGUUCGUUGUCAUAAUUUUGCAUAGUGUGAGUUUGUAUGACAUCACUUGAUCGCCUAGCGGCCUUAAUAUCGUGAGGAAUGUAAUGAAGAAUUUUUCAAACCCAAAGAUGGAAGCAGAACAACAUCAAAGCUUUGUCUGUGGUGUGACUACCAUCAAACAAGAGUCAGUUGAAACUGACCCAUCCACAUCUCCAAAUCAAGAGAUUGAAGACAUAUUCAUUAAGGAAGAAACUCUGGAAUCUUCACCUUCAGAUGAUAUUCCAUGGCCUAGCACUCAGGAUAGUGGGAAAAUGGAGGAUGAGGAUAUGGAGG